UCACAUGCAAGUCGAACGCGCAUGGUACAUGCGAGUGGCGGACGGGUGAGGAACACGUGGGUUAUCUACCGAGAGGUGAGGAAUACCGGCGAGAAAUCGCCGACAAUACCGCAUAGGUUUGGAAACAAACAAAGUCGCAAGACGCCUCUUGAUGAGCCUGCGCCCGAUUAGCUUCGUUGGUGGGGUAACGGCCUACCAAGGCAACAAUCGGUAGCUGGUCUGAGAGGACGAUCAGCCACACUGGGAUUGAGAACGGCCCAG
RNAcentral lists this ribosomal RNA (261 nucleotides) under uncultured bacterium. RNAcentral describes it as "partial 16S ribosomal RNA". It matches the Rfam family "Bacterial small subunit ribosomal RNA", at positions 52 to 334 of the family's 1533-position model. The record is from RNAcentral.